Pelobates cultripes (western spadefoot toad) is the source of this 287-nucleotide non-coding RNA. NCBI's taxonomy places the organism in Eukaryota, Metazoa, Chordata, Amphibia, Anura, Pelobatidae. The record is from the annotation of a GenBank genome assembly.
CUUCACACAAUUUCCCCAGAAAUUGUAGCUUUUCUAGUUAUUAUUAUUAUUAUUAUUAUUAUUAUAGCAAAAUUUGCCACUCCUCCCACAGUUUUUACACUACAUAGACAAAAAUUUACCAAAACGUGCAGAUUGUUCCCGAUCGGAUUGCUAUUACUUUGUGGAACGUUUCGCCGAAUGGUUCACGGAAUAUCGUCGUUCUUGUGGCGAAAUUUGUCCCAUAGGAAUGAAUGGCAAAGCUAGAGUGGGAGCUGGCAAAAGCUGAAAAAUCAGGACAUGAUUUCUAA